This is an RNA transcript of Quercus lobata, 4311 nucleotides long. It is a transcript of the gene named ABC transporter C family member 8-like, with no coding region annotated. The transcript has 7 exons. The record is from RefSeq and is a predicted model, not a curated record. Lineage: Eukaryota; Viridiplantae; Streptophyta; Magnoliopsida; Fagales; Fagaceae.
AAUUAUCCAAUGAGGUUAGGCGGUGAGAUUAGUGGUUCGUUGCUCCAAUUAGAACAUUUGAAUUACUUGAAUUUGAGUUACAAUGACUUUAAUUGUACUCCGAUCCCAUCUUUCCUUGGUUCAAUGUACAGUCUCACACAUCUUGAUCUCUCAGGCGCUAACUUCUGUGGACUCAUUCCUCAUCAGCUUGGGAACCUUUCAAGCCUUCGCUAUCUGUCUCUUGGAAAUAAUUCUGACCUUUAUGUAGAUAACCUUCGUUGGAUGUUUGGUCUCUCUGCCAUUCAAUACCUUGAACUAAGUGAUGCUGACCUUCACAGAGAAGUUGAUUGGCUUCAAAUAAUGAGUAAGUUCCCAUCUCUUUCACAGCUAUACUUGGAAAAUUGUCAGCUUGAUAGCCUGAAUCCAUCCCUUGGAUUUGUCAAUUUCACGUCUCUUCAAUUCCUUCAUCUUUCUGGAAAUCAUUUCAAUCAUGAGAUACCUAAUUGGUUCUCUAAUCUCAGUACAAGCCUCUUAGGGCUUGCUCUGUUCAACAAUUCUUUCAAAGGCAAUAUACCGCCUAGCAUUUUCAAUUUAGAGAAAUUAGAAUAUCUAUCCUUGUGUCUCAAUAAGCUAACUGAACAAAUUCUAGAGCCGUUAGGCCAACUUAAGCAUCUAACAUAUCUUGAUCUCGGAAUUAAUUCUUUAAAUGGUCCUAUACCUUCUUCCUUUGGGAAUUUAUCUCGUAUGAGAAUAUUAUGCCUCAACCAAAAUCAGUUGAAUGGCACCAUUCCAAACAGUCUUUGGCUUCUCUCUGAGUUAGAGAUGUUGUAUGUCGGAAAAAAUUCUUUAACAGGUACCGUAGAUGAAGGGCAUUUCCAAAGACUCUCAAAAUUAAAGCAUCUCUAUAUGUCUAAAACACGUUUGUUCUUUAAUGUCAAUUCCAAUUGGGAUCCCCCCUUCCAACUUGACUAUGCCUCCAUCAGCUCAAUCAAGAUAGGUCCUAAAUUUCCUUCAUGGCUACAAUCACAAAGAUCCCUCAGUUUUUUAGAUAUGUCCAUGUCAGGAAUUUCAGGCAAAGCUCCAGGUUGGUUCUGGAAUUGGACUUCAAACAUUACAGUUAUCAAUCUCUCUAACAACCACAUAGAAUGUGAUGUAUCAGACAUUUUUUUGAGUUCUACUGUCAAAGUGCUCAAUAUAGCUAACAACUCAUUUUAUGGACCCAUUUCUACUUUCUUAUGCCAAAAGAAUAUUAGAAAGAAUAAAUUAGAGGUUUUAGACGCAUCAAACAAUCUCUUAUCAGGAGAACUUUCUCACUGCUGGAAGUAUUGGCAGUCUUUGAUCCAUUUAAACUUAGGGAGCAAUAAUCUAGUAGGUAGAAUUCCCUACUCCAUGGGGGCUUUAGUUAACCUCCAAUCAUUGCGUUUACAAAACAAUAGCAUCUAUGGAGAUAUUCCUUCAUCAUUGAAAAAGUGCUCAAAUCUGAGUCUCAUUGAUAUGGGUGAAAAUCAUUUGUCCAUCAUACCACUAUGGAUUGGAGAAAUGACAAAUCUUACAGUUCUCCGUCUAAGAUCAAGUGAAUUCAAGGGUUAUAUACCUCAACAAAUAUGCCAACUUUCUUCUCUUAGAGUAUUGAAUCUUGCCAAUAAUAGCCUAUCAGGAUCUAUACCAAACUGCUUGAAAAAUAUUAGUGCCAUGGCAUUACCAGAUCCCGAUGUUAUUUCUUCUGAUGUUAUUUCAUUUUAUUAUAUGCCUUAUACAUGUUCGUAUAUACAUUUAUGCUAUAUUGAGCAUGUUCAGUUGGUUCCCAAAGGGAAAGAAAUGGAAUACAAAGAGAACCUUAAAUUAGUUAGGCUCAUAGACCUUUCAAGUAACAACUUGUCUGGAUCAAUCCUUGCUGAAAUUUCUGAUCUUUCCAAAUUACGUUUUUUGAAUUUGUCUCGAAAUCAUUUGAUGGGAAAGAUACCAGAAAAAAUUGGGAGUAUGAAAGAGUUAGAGUCAAUUGAUCUCUCACAAAAUCAUUUAUCUGGUGAAAUUCCUCCAAGCAUGUCUGAUAUGACAUUUCUUAGUCUCUUGGAUUUGUCAUACAACAACCUCUCGGGUAGAAUUCCUUCAAGUACUCAGCUUCAAUCAUUUGAUGCCCAGAGUUACAUUGGAAAUCCUCAGUUAUGUGGUGAUCCUCUUCCAAAAAGCUGCACAAUUGAGGAACAAUCUUUGAAUAGAUCACCAAUUGGCAAUGUUGAAGAUGAUUCUAAAAACUCCAGCUUCUACAUUGGUAUGGGAGUUGGAUUUGCAACUGGCUUUUGGGCAAUUUGCGGAGCUCUCUUCUUUAAUAGGACUUGGAGGCAUGCUUAUUUUAGAUUUGCCGAUGAAAUAAAAGAUUGGAUUUAUGUGACUGCAAUGAGAAAGAUGAAUUUAUUGGAAAAGCUAAGAGUCCACCUUAGUAAGUGAGGCAUCGUUAUCUAGCCAAAAGGCUGUGAAAACUAUUGCAAUCCAAGACAUUUACAAGUUGAAGCAGACAUAAAUAAAUUGUUUCUAUAUGACAGCAUUUAUUUGAUGGGAAUAUGCUACAAGGAAGCUAAGUAGGCUGGUGCGCUACUAGAGGUGCCAAGUGAACCAUAGAAGUUCUUCCAGCAAUGAUUUCCUUGGGGAGCUCACUUGGGGGCAUCUCAUGGAUUUGUUAAGAACUUUAUUUGGGUUCUUACUGCCUUUAAAGAACAAUUGUAGAUGGUGUAAACCUAUUCUUCCUAUGUGCUUUCUACCUAUUUUUGACCAUAGCUAUCAUAGGAAAAUGUUCUACAAGAAGUAGUAGAAAAGAUUGCGUCUUGGUGGUAGUUUCACUGUGUUGUGCUCUUUGUAGCAUUGGUUAUUUAUUUAUGGGUUUAUGGAAUCUAAUGGCCAAAAAUGAUGAAUUCAAUCAUAUGAGCUGGUUGGUUUACUUUGUUAGAGGACUGGUUUAAAUCUCUUUUACACUUUCCUUGCUUUCUCAAUGGUCCAAAUUGAUCAGUCUUCUAAACUCUUUUUGGUGGGCAUUCUCUUUUGUAUUGAUUUCAAUUCUGAAUGUCCAAAUUCUACUAAGAACAUAUAGCAUUGAAAUUUAGUGGCAGUCUACCAAAAGCAGUUAAAGCUUUCUAGCUUAGGAAGGAGAAGGCACUCAACUGGGGAGAUAGUGAAUUAUAUUGCAGUUGAUGCUUAUAGAAUGGGUGAAUUUCCAUGGUGGUUCCAUUCAUCAUGGAGCUUUGUACUGCAACUUUUCCUAGCCAUUGGCAUUCUUUUAUGGGUUGUGGGUCUUGGUGCACUUAUAGGUCUAGUUCCUCUUCUCGUAUGUGGACUCCUUAACGUGCAUGCCUUUCGCAAUUAUGCUACAGAAGUGUCAAACUCAGUUUAUGAUUGCCCAAGAUGAAAGAUUGAGAUCCACUUCCGAGAUCCUAAACAGUAUGAAGAUCAUAAAGUUGCAAUCAUGGGAAGAUAAAUUUAAGAAUUUGAUUGAAUCUGUCUGCAAAAAUGAGUUCAAAUGGUUGGCUGAAACUCAGUUUGCAAAGGCUUAUGGCACAUUGUUGUAUUGGAUGUCUCCAACCAUCAUUUCUUCAGUGGUCUUCUUGGGAUGUAUUAUUUUUGGAAGUGCCCCUCUAAAUGCUAGCAUCAUCUUCACAGUCCUUGCAUCAUUGAGGAGUAUGGGAGAUCCUGUGAGAAUGAUACCAGAAGCUCUUUCUUCUUUGGUCCAAGUGAAGAUAUCUUUCGAUCGUCUCAAUGCUUUUCUGCUUGAUGAUGAGCUGAAAAAUGAAGAAUUAAGGAGAAUCCCCUUUCAGAAGUCGGAUAAGAGUGUAAAGAUACAAUCAGGCAAUUUCAGUUGGGAUCCUGAAAUAAUGAUUCCCACUCUAAGAGAUGUGAACUUGGAAAUGAGAUGUGGGCAGAAAGUUGCUGUUUGUGGUCCAGUUGGGGCUGGGAAAUCAUCACUUCCCCAUGCUGUACUAAUGGAGAUGCCAAAAAUUUCUGGAACAGUUAAUGCAUUUGGAUCCAUUGCCUAUGUUUCUCAAACUUCUUGGAUCCAAGGUGGGACUAUUUGCGAUAACAUAUUAUAUGGAAAUCCUAUGGACAAGACCAAAUAUGAGAAGGCCAUAAAAGCAUGUGCUUUGGACAAGGACAUCAAUAAUUUCAACAAUGGUGUUCUCACAGAAAUAGGUCAGAGAGGGCUUAACAUGAGUGGAGGACAGAAACAAAGGAUUCAACUAGCUCGAGCUGUCUAUAACGAUGCUGAUAUCUAUCUCCUUGGGGAUCCAUUCAGUGCAGUAGAUGCUCAUACAGCUUAAAUUUUAUUUAAUGAUUGUGUCAUGG